GUGGUUUAAUUCGAAGCAACGCGAAGAACCUUACCAGGCCUUGACAUGCAGAGAACUUUCCAGAGAUUGGAUUGGUGCCUUCGGGAACUCUGACACAGGUGCUGCAUGGCUGUCGUCAGCUCGUGUCGUGAGAUGUUGGGUUAAGUCCCGCAACGAGCGCAACCCUUGCCUUUAGUUGCCAGCAGUUCGGCUGGGCACUCUAAAGGGACUGCCGGUGUUAAACCGGAGGAAGGUGGGGAUGACGUCAAGUCCUCAUGGCCUUUAUGACCAGGGCUACACACGUACUACAAUGGCCGAUACAAAGGGCAGCGACACUGCGAGGUGAAGCCAAUCCCGUAAAAUCGGUCUCAGUCCGGAUUGGAGUCUGCAACUCGACUCCAUGAAGUUGGAAUCGCUAGUAAUCGUGGAUCAGCAUGCCACGGUGAAUACGUUCCCGGGCCUU
RNAcentral lists this ribosomal RNA (442 nucleotides) under uncultured Desulfobulbus sp. Its description in RNAcentral is "bacterial SSU rRNA". It matches the Rfam family "Bacterial small subunit ribosomal RNA", at positions 941 to 1382 of the family's 1533-position model. The record is from RNAcentral. Lineage: Bacteria; Pseudomonadati; Thermodesulfobacteriota; Desulfobulbia; Desulfobulbales; Desulfobulbaceae.